Molecule: long non-coding RNA, 1055 nt
Filed under: Olea europaea subsp. europaea
Lineage: Eukaryota; Viridiplantae; Streptophyta; Magnoliopsida; Lamiales; Oleaceae
Source: RNAcentral
GAAAAAUGAGGUGACCAAUUAAAUGUCUUCAAAUGGUGAGUGAAGUGCCAAAUCAGCUCCACAUCAACAAUUACCAAACAGGCCUUUUCAUAAAUAAGAAAUGAAACACCCAUUCUUCCUCACGAAAGAUGAAAUUCAUUCAUUUGCAGUGAAAUUAAAAUCCCCCAAAAUCGAGCCCCAAACCCUAAGGUUAACCUAUUGAUUUUGCCCAAAAUUUCAACUUGCUUCUACACUGGAAGUGUGAUUUCAAUUGCAAUGAAUAUUUGCUUUGUGGCUGAGUAACUGAUAUGGAGUUGGUUUUGGCCAUUGAUGCACAGUUUUUGCCUCAAGGAGUUCCGAUAAUGUGGAGAAUCAAAAUGGGAUGUGAUUUUACAAUUUUACUUGAUGGUGUGAUUUUAAUUUCUUGCAAUGUCAAUACUAUUUUUUGUCGGACGGAAGGUUGCAGCUCAUGCCUACCGAGGAAGUCAACUUUAUCGAAACAGAUGAUGAAUUACUAGAUACAGAUGAGGCGACUUCUUCGAAAGUCAGAUCACAAAGGGCGCGAACAAGAUGAAGUCAUCGUGAAUGGAUGGAUUAUGGUAGCAAUUUUUUGGUCGUCUAUGCGAGAAAUUUCAACUUGCACUUAUAGUGCUCGAAAUAUUUUUGGUUACAAUUAUCGCACCUUUUUGUAUGAUUCUUUUUGUAGAAAUGCCGAGAAACGUGGGUGACAAAUCAUGUGGAUGGAAUGUAGAAACUUUGUUUUUGUUAUGAUGAAUUUGGUCUGUCAAUAUCGUUUAAUAUACUUUUUAAUUUGUGGAUGGAGUAAAUUUCCGUUCUAAAUAAUGACGAUGAAUUGGUAUAUAAUUUAUGUACUUAAUUGAAUAGCAUUAAAUACAUGAUAUCAGCAAAAAUUGUGGGGUUGAGAAGAUUCAAAGUAUUAUGCAUUUACCUUAGAUGUAUGAUUCUGUUUCUCCUUCAUGAUGGAAAUUUCUGAUUUCCAUCUACUGCUAUUGAUAGGCCGGUUUUAAGAUGUCAAUGCUGAUGUUCCUGCAUUGACAGCAUGUGUACAGUCACAG